AUCAUUGACACCCUCCACAAGGAGGGAAAGCCUCAAAAGACAAGUUUUGCACUGCAAGCAGCGCCUGCAACAACAGAUGAGAUUCCCAGGCAAGACCCCGGCUUUGGCAGCAACUCACCCAGGUGUAGGCUUCAGUGGAUAUCAAAGCUUGCUUCCUUUGGGAACUCCCUUCAUAAGGGCCUGUUGCAGGUCAACACACAGCAUAAUGACAACGGCCAUGAGCUCCUGUCUUUCACCACCAUGGGCGCCAACAUGUGCCACCUGAGCUUGCAGAACAAAACGCUGACCUACAAUCCUUAAAGGUGGAUCCAGAGGACCAUAUUGUCUAAGAGGUCCUCCUGGCACCGUGGAGAAAGUUCCUUUCAUUGUACGAUUAGGCAACAACUACCCCAAAACCAACAUACCCCUCACCUUCAUCUGCAAUUAACAUAACGGCUGUGACAUCAGGACAUGGUAUUUUACCUGUGAACAUACCGGUGUUAAUGGGUUCCAGUUCAGCUGUGUUCAGAACUGUAACGGAUAGCUGAUUCUGCACUCAGUCCCCAGCCCCUGAAGCUUUGUAUCAAAUGAAGAGACUGUUCAUAAUGGCUGCAGUAGUGAUGCAAAAAAAGGGCAAAGCUUCUUCUACAUAUUCUGUUGUAUAAUUUAACUGUAUACUGAAAAAUGUGAAGACCAUGAACACUACCUGACUUGAUAUGCAAUAUUUUAAUUGUCUUUUGAAUGAAUUCAUUUUGUUGUCUAAAUUGACCCCUUUUAUAAAAAGGUGUACAUGCAAUUCCACCCCCCACCCCCCCACACACACCUUUCAGACUACAACUUCAAGAGCUGCAAUCUCUGGAACACACUUUUGUUUGGGUUUGAGUGACAUUAAUAAGUGAUUGUUGUGCAGAUGGACCUCUGCCUCUGAAUGAAAUCUAUGAUGAUAUAG
This is a long non-coding RNA of Micropterus salmoides (largemouth bass), 928 nucleotides long. RefSeq lists it as uncharacterized. Lineage: Eukaryota; Metazoa; Chordata; Actinopteri; Centrarchiformes; Centrarchidae. The transcript is spliced from 4 exons. The record is from RefSeq and is a predicted model, not a curated record.